RNAcentral lists this ribosomal RNA (468 nucleotides) under bacterium enrichment culture DGGE gel band A25. RNAcentral describes it as "partial 16S ribosomal RNA". It matches the Rfam family "Bacterial small subunit ribosomal RNA", at positions 21 to 478 of the family's 1533-position model. The record is from RNAcentral.
GGCUCAGAUUGAACGCUGGCGGCAUGCUUUACACAUNCAANUNGAACGGCAGCACGGGCUUCGNCCUGGUGGGGAGUGGCGAACGGGUGAGUAAUGCNUCGGAACGUGCCCAUGUCGNGGGGGAUAACGUAGCGAAAGCUACGCUAAUACCNCAUACGCCCUGAGGGGGAAAACCGGGGGAUUUUUCGGACCCUCGCGCGAUGGGAGCGGCCGAUGUCGGUUUAGUUAGUAGGGGAGGUAAAGCUUNCCUAGGNNGAGGUUCGUAAGGGGUUNGAGGACGCUUUUUUACCCCCCCUGGGGAUGGAGACACGCCCCAGACUCCUACGGGAGCCAGCAGUGGGGAAUUUUNGACANGGGGGGCANCCCUGAUCCACCCAUGCCGCGUGAGGAAAGAAGGCCUUCGGGUUGUAAAGCUCUUUCGGCCGGGAAGAAAUCGGCGACUCUAACAUAGUCGCUGGAUGACGGUAC